Non-coding RNA from Coturnix japonica (Japanese quail), 334 nucleotides. The record is from RefSeq and is a predicted model, not a curated record. Lineage: Eukaryota; Metazoa; Chordata; Aves; Galliformes; Phasianidae.
UCACAUCAGAAACAUAAAUCAGGCAUUUCAUUUAAUUCUUCUUUCCCUUCCUCACAGCCCUGAAGCCUUGGAAUCUUUCACGUCCUUCAAUUUCAGAGUCUAUAUUUUUCAAGUAUUAUCCAAUGGAAAACACCCUGCAGAUUUCAUCAAGUGGAAAAAAGCAGCAUCCUGAAAGAAGGAAAAUCUUUCUUUUAUGCCUGAAUACAUCCAAGACUUCAUAAUCUAUCCCGCUUCUUUGGCAGUAGCUGGGGAGAGUUUAGAAGCACUAUGAGGGAGGAAGAGAUGGGAGAAAAGGUAUCUACAGUUCCUUCAAUAAAUUUAAGAGGUGAAAUCA